GCUUGUCUCAAAGAUUAAGCCAUGCAUGUCUAAGUAUAAAUGGUAUACAGUGAAACUGCGAAUGGCUCAUUAAAACAGUUAUAGUUUAUUUGGUAUUCGAAUUUACAUGGAUAACCGUGGUAAUUCUAGAGCUAAUACAUGCAUUACGCCUGACUUUUCGGAAGGGCAGUAUUUAUUAGAUAACAGACCAUCUCCCCCAAAGGAAAUGUGGUGAAUCAUAGUAACUAAUCGGAUCGCAGAGGCCUCGCGCCGGCGACAAAUCAUUCAAGUUUCUGCCCUAUCAGCUUUCGAUGGUAGUGUAUUGGACUACCAUGGCAUUCACGGGUAACGGAGGAUUAGGGUUCGAUUCCGGAGAGGGAGCCUGAGAAAUGGCUACCACAUCCAAGGAAGGCAGCAGG
RNAcentral lists this ribosomal RNA (398 nucleotides) under uncultured Strobilidiidae. Its description in RNAcentral is "partial small subunit ribosomal RNA". It matches the Rfam family "Eukaryotic small subunit ribosomal RNA", at positions 30 to 432 of the family's 1831-position model. Lineage: Eukaryota; Ciliophora; Spirotrichea; Choreotrichida; Strobilidiidae. The record is from RNAcentral.